Long non-coding RNA from Stylophora pistillata, 4091 nucleotides. The record is from RefSeq and is a predicted model, not a curated record. Lineage: Eukaryota; Metazoa; Cnidaria; Anthozoa; Scleractinia; Pocilloporidae.
UCACAUGGACUUGUACGUUUUGUUACGUUGUCACGUUGUACCAUCAAAAUCUGUUGCCAAACGGGCGGGAAAGCAGUUGUAAGGUGCAGCGGGGCAAGAAGAAGGUAUUUGGAAGCCACUUGAAAGUGACUUGAAGCUGACUUCAGAGUACGUGUGACGUGUGUGGUGUUUGACAAGCGAACCACGGAGCUUACUUAUGUUUGAGCUUUCACUGGUACUGCCUGGAACUUGAGGUUCUGCUCCAUUGGGUGGUGCUGGCAUAAAUUCAAUGGCAAGCCCUGGUUGACUGUCAUCAUCAGAAGGGUCUGCAUGUUGAGUUGCGAGGACUUGCUUUGCUGUCCACUUGGUCUUACAAGGGCUAUCAACCCUUAAUCUGUCAAGGAUGGAUUAUUCCGCGCACAAGAUGUUAUGGACAAAAAUCAUUGUUUACAUGAGAUAUAGUGUUCUUGGGUCAGACUUUAGUUUUCAUAUCUGAGGUUGUUUACAAAUGUGCUGAAAUUUUUCACGGACUUUGCUGCAUUAUUUCUCUAGAAUUUGAUGUUUUUUCUUCAAACCUUCAAUUUAAAUGUCCUGAAGGGGUAUUUAAACAAGGCGUAGGUAAAAUUAACUUAACAUUUGGAAUCAUAAUCGAGUAAUUUUUUGCUCAUAUUUGAUAAAACAUUCAAAAAGCGAUUUCAACAUGGUGACAUGGCAAGCGAGAAGGUAUAAAGCAGAGGAAGUUGCUAGGAUUAUGGAUAUUCCCGAGGAUAGCCACAUCUGACUUUUGAGGGGGGAGAAGGCGAUAAUAAAAGCGGUAUGGACGAGCCUAACACAGACUCUGGUGAAUCAAACAGUUCUGCUUGUGAAAACGGCCACACUAUAAUCCAUUUUGAUACCACAUUUUAUCAGCUUUAUUAUGAUAUAUAAGCCAGAAUUGGUUAAAAUCUUGAAUUUUAAUAAUUUUUUUCUUAAAAGAGUCUCAAAAUCUCCAUAAUUAUUCAAAUAAUUGAUAUUAAGGGUAAGCACUUUCCUCUGAGUUAUGCACAUGCCAAAAAUAGUGCAAUUGUCCUGAGGCAUGGGGAUCUUGAAAUGGAAAGAUUUGAAGUUUGAAGUUUAUCGAAGCUUGAUAAGAAGAAAGCUUAAUAGGAAAUGACAAAUUACAAAUUAAUCUAAUUAAUUUAAUUAAUCUAAUUAUUAUUGAUCUAAUUUACACUUUCUUGUUCCUGAAGACCGUUCUUGCCCACAAAUAGCAGGAGCUAGUCGAGGCGGGCGAGAAAGCUCCACAAACUCAGGAGAAACAGCUAUUUAUUUUAAAUGACUGUGUGGAUCACAUAUCUCCACAGUGGAUUUCCUUUGUGACAUUUCUUGAGAUAAUGUUCGUUGCUUUUUGUAGUGAAAGAACCCAGGCCAGUGUUUUCUAUUUUAGAAGCACUGUUAAGGAGUAUUUAACUAAUUUGCCAAGAACAUACAAACCGAAUAUUAUCCCCAAGCAGCGUUAUCUCAUCCAUUUACCCUUACAAAUGCUUCUAUUUGGUCCUUUGAUUCGAUAUUGGUGCUUGAGGCUUGAGAGUAAGCAUGCAAUUUUGAGGACUUAGCAAAGGAAAAUGAUAAGAAUUUUAAAUUUGCAUACAAGUCAACUGUCUUCUCAAGUUUAGGGGAAUGUAUAUCUUCGAUAGAACAACACUUACUCAAGGCUUGGUAUCCACUUGUAGAAAUCACAGUCCACAUAGGACAUGUUGCUUGCCUCAAUCAAAGGCAACUGAAUACCUUUUAAUUAAAUAUGGGAUCCACUUUCGUCAGUGAAGUGCCCAAUGCCAUAAGUAGUUUUGCACUCUUUGCACUCGAGUAAUCUUGCUGGCAGGCAAAGGGCCUGUUGGACCAUGAACAAUUGUCUUUUUGGGGUUGUUGUGCAGUUGAAGGUAUUUUUCACAUUUGAAACGAGAUUAAAUUGGCAGAGCGAUGAAUCUGUCGCACCAAUAGCCUCUUUCUUCAGUUAAAGACUAUAAAAUGUCUCCUAGAGUGAUCGAGGAGGUUAGGAACUUAAGGCAAUACUGUUCCAAGAACUCGAAAGAGGAUUUCGCUUCAGCUGGCAACAAUGGAAACCUUAUCUUGUUAAUAUAGGGUUGUCGGUAGGUUACUGAGUAGCAGGUUCUGUCCAUAAAGUAGGUGGCUACAGCAAGGCAUGCACACCAUUCGAAGAGGGUAUGGGGGGCUCAGUUGGUUUUGGGGGUCUCCCGCAGGAAUUUUUGCCAAAAAUGAUACUCUGAAAUGCAAUCUGGGCCUAUUUUCUGCCAGCAUUGUGUAAAUCUGUACAUGGUUUUCCCACUCUUUUCUAUCUCUUGUUCUUUAAUCACUGUAACUUUGUAACCAUUGUAAUUUAUUAAUCAUUGUAACUAAAUUGUGUGUGGCAAAUGAACUGAUUAAAAUAAAAAAAAAACUGUUAAGUUGAUCUUAUAGUUCUGGAAUCCACCUUUGUGCAAUCACAUGCCAUGUGAUUAAAAAUCCUGAGAAACUACAGUGCACAAGAAGGAAAAUACUAUUCUCUUACACUAUAUUUUGUCUUCAACACAACUUUUCUUUUUCUCGUUAUUGCACAGUUUCUGUCAGUGUUUACUCUUUGAAUUCACUGUUUUAAAUGUAAAUAACUGUAACAUACAAAAAAUUGGAGAAACCAUGAUGCUUCAGAUUGGACUUCUUUCAUUACAUCUUCAAAAUCACUGUAAUAAUCAGAUUCAUCUGAUUCAUGAUCAUCCACUUCAUCUAAAGGAAGCCCAAGUCUUUCAGCUGCAAGAGUAACCUCAUCAUCCACACGCAGUUGCUCUGCGAGCUCUUCAACCACUGUUUGAGUACCCUGUGUGUAGGUACUGGGUUCUGCUGGCUUACAUACAUACAUACAUGCAUUAUUUAACAAUGCAGGUUAAAAAUAUAGUAGCGAAAGCUGAUGUAGACCUGCUAUGCAUAAAUAUCGACAAGAUAUAUUAAUUAGGUAAUUUAAAUGCACAUUAAUUUAAGCAGAGAAACUUACAAAUUUAACAAAUAAAAGUAUGAAAUAGCAUCUAAAAAUAUAUAAAAUCAUCAGAGUUCUUAAAUGUAAUGGUAGAACUACAACCAAAAGAUAUUUUAUCAAUAGAUUUAGAGUACUUUACAAGAUUUUCUUUAAACGAUGCAAAGGAAGAAAGUGGAUGGGCUCGUUCAAUGAGGCACGAGGAAAUUUGACUUUAAGUCUGUGUAUUUUUUGACCAAAAGAGUCGUACAAUUUGUUCAAAGGUUGUACAUGAAUUGAGGUUAAAAACUAACAUUAACUGACAACUUGAAAACACGAGGUAAUGACAAUGUGUACAAAACUGCGCAUGGGCAGAUAUUCAAAUAAGAAUGCUGAUUCAAGCGUGUCUUUUCCGCCGGCCUUGAUACCAUCAACAUAAAGUUCAACGUCCUUAGUUCAAAUAAUGUUUCUGGAAAAUGUUCUUUUGAGUUUCUUCUAAUAAAGUUGCCUAAAAAAGUUUCUUUGAGUUCAUUUCAUUCUUAUACUUGUUCUCUGAGCUUAUGAGGUUCAUAAUAUACUUAGCACUGGAUUCUAACAAUUUGCUAAAGUUCUUAAAUUGUACACAGUUUCUUUACAGGGUAUCCUCUGAUGGGAUUAGCAGGCACAACUUUACAACUGGUCGAAUGAAUGUUGCAGUCUUGGUUUUGACAGUGACCACUCUAAACAACUAGUCUGGUCCAGGAUGGAUUCUGAUGAUUCGCCCAAGGGGCCAUUGACAUGGUGGAGUGCGAUUGUCCUUUAAUAGCACAAUGUCAUUAACACAAAGACUUCGUUUGGGUCGCCUCCACUUAUUGAAGGUAUUCGGUAGACCACCGUUUCCAAAAAUGCUGUAUUGAGGCUUGACAAAGUUACCAUCGUUUUAACGUUGAAAUGGGUGUAGUUGAAACUUGGUCAGUCAGUGCUUCGAGUGGUCUGCCAGUUAGAAAUUGACCAGGGGUGAGUGGAGCAAUUCCAUCGUCAUCAUUUGAGUCGAGUGCUGUGUAAAGUGGUCUAGAGUUGAGGCAAGCCUCGAUUUGGCACAGAACAGUUGCCAUCUCUUCGAACGCGAGUUUACUUUCGCCAACUAUAC